GUGCUUACUUUGGCAGCACAUAUACUGAAAUUGGAACAAUACAGAGAAUAUUAGGAUGGCCCAUGCACAAGGAUGACAUGCAAAUUCAUGAAGUGUUCUGCAUUUUU
Molecule: small nuclear RNA, 107 nt
Organism: Dipodomys ordii (Ord's kangaroo rat)
Lineage: Eukaryota; Metazoa; Chordata; Mammalia; Rodentia; Heteromyidae
Source: Ensembl